This 840-nucleotide ribosomal RNA is filed under the name Diaporthe sp. RNAcentral describes it as "eukaryotic LSU rRNA". It matches the Rfam family "Eukaryotic large subunit ribosomal RNA", at positions 68 to 940 of the family's 3401-position model. The record is from RNAcentral. Lineage: Eukaryota; Fungi; Ascomycota; Sordariomycetes; Diaporthales; Diaporthaceae.
ACAGGGAUUGCCCUAGUAACGGCGAGUGAAGCGGCAACAGCUCAAAUUUGAAAUCUGGCCUCGGCCCGAGUUGUAAUUUGCAGAGGAUGCUUCUGGCGCGGUGCCUUCCGAGUUCCCUGGAACGGGACGCCACAGAGGGUGAGAGCCCCGUAUGGUCGGACACCAAGCCUGUGUGAAGCUCCUUCGACGAGUCGAGUAGUUUGGGAAUGCUGCUCUAAAUGGGAGGUAAAUCUCUUCUAAAGCUAAAUACCGGCCAGAGACCGAUAGCGCACAAGUAGAGUGAUCGAAAGAUGAAAAGCACCUUGAAAAGGGGGUUAAAUAGUACGUGAAAUUGUUGAAAGGGAAGCACUUAUGACCAGACUUGGGCCGGGCGGCUCAUCAGGGGUUCUCCCCUGUGCACUCCGCCCGGCACAGGCCAGCAUCGGUUUUCGCGGGGGGAUAAGACCGGCGGGAACGUAGCACCCUCCGGGGUGUGUUAUAGCCCGCCGGACGAUACCCUCGCGGGGACCGAGGUCCGCGCUCCGCAAGGAUGCUGGCGUAAUGGUCAUCAGUGACCCGUCUUGAAACACGGACCAAGGAGUCGUCCAUUAGAGCGAGCGUUUGGGUGUAAAACCCGCACGCGUAAUGAAAGUGAACGCAGGUGAGAGCUUCGGCGCAUCAUCGACCGAUCCUGAUGUCCUCGGAAGGAUUUGAGUAAGAGUUUUAACGGACGGACCCGAAAGACAGUGAACUAUGCUUGUAUAGGGUGAAGCCAGAGGAAACUCUGGUGGAGGCUCGCAGCGGUUCUGACGUGCAAAUCGAUCGUCAAAUAUGAGCAUGGGGGCGAAAGACUAAUCGAAC